This 274-nucleotide long non-coding RNA is filed under the name Prunus persica (peach). RNAcentral describes it as "long non-coding RNA (PPER_LNC008032)". Lineage: Eukaryota; Viridiplantae; Streptophyta; Magnoliopsida; Rosales; Rosaceae. The record is from RNAcentral.
UUGCCCAAGGCAGGGUAGGAGGGGGCCCAAGGCCCUUUUGCGCGUUUGAGCUGGCCAAGCUUGCUCGGGCAAGAGGCGAGUCCUACAAAAUCGGGGCAGUCAGAAGGUGAAACGAGACCGUGCUCCAUUUCGAGGACUACUGAUGUCAUGGCUGACGCCAACCUGACGUCAGUGCCCGGGGCACGCACCAACAAUAAAACAAAAUUCAAACUCGGACACUAACGUCAGGCUAGCAUCAGUGCUACUUUCCACCAAUGGUAACACGGCAUGUGGC